CCGGGCCUACGGGGGGCAGCAGUGGGGAAUAUUGCACAAUGGGGGAAACCCUGAUGCAGCAACGCCGCGUGAGUGAAGAAGGUUUUUGGAUUGUAAAGCUCUGUUAGCAGGGAAGAGGAAGGACGGUACCUGCAGAGGAAGCCACGGCUAACUACGUGCCAGCAGCCGCGGUAAUACGUAGGUGGCAAGCGUUAUCCGGAUUUACUGGGUGUAAAGGGAGCGCAGGCGGCGUGGCAAGUCAGAUGUGAAAACCCGGGGCCCAACCCCGGGAGUGCAUUUGAAACUGCCAUGCUGGAGUGCCGGAG
Molecule: ribosomal RNA, 305 nt
Filed under: uncultured bacterium
Lineage: Bacteria
Description: bacterial SSU rRNA
Rfam family: Bacterial small subunit ribosomal RNA
Source: RNAcentral